GAGGUGUGCAGGCUGACGGGGCAGGUCCCGUCGGUGGUGGUGACGUGGUCGGUGAUCGUCGGCAUGGGUUCCGUUCUACUCCGCGGCGCUGCAC
This 94-nucleotide transfer RNA is filed under the name Mycolicibacterium parafortuitum. RNAcentral describes it as "tRNA-Thr". The record is from RNAcentral. Lineage: Bacteria; Bacillati; Actinomycetota; Actinomycetes; Mycobacteriales; Mycobacteriaceae.